CAGUCUGGGCAGGAAAGAUGGAGGUGACAGAAAGUGUAGGAGUCCAGCCUUGGCAGGAAAGGCUGACGUGAUUCUGAUGGGGGGCUGUGUCACUGGCUAUCCAGGAAAGGCUGAGGUGAUUAUGAAGGAGAAAAGGAUCACCGACUGAGCUGUAAAAGCUAUGGUGACGGUGGGCAGGAUGGGAAAGGCUGGGGUGAUUCUGAUAGGGGAUAGUCUCAGGAUCCGUGUGAAGAAGGUCUGAUACAUAUCUCACCUAGUAGGGCUUGGGAGGAGGGGAAAAUCCUUACCUGAGGGCUAUGCAGAUGUUGUAAGGACAUGGGACUAACACACAACUCUAUACUUCCACUCUCUCUGAGUCAGCUUCAAGCACAAGAGGGCAAGAAGAAAAUGUCAAAGAAGAGGGGGAAAGAAGAUGGGUCACUGAAGACAGAGGAGAAGUACUCUUGGCACAGUAAUGGGGCCUCAGGUCAUGUCAUUAUACUGCAUGGGGAUGUCAAGUCUUUAAUAUCCUGAGCAGUAAAGCAGGGGUACAAGACUGAGCCAUCUUGUCCUUUUAACAUUAGGCUCUGUUAAUGAUUACGUGAGAGUUAAUGCCCUGUAAUCAGAGUGCAAGUAACUUCCUCUUCUCUUUUGAUGGGAAUUGACCUCUUUGUUCAACUGAGCAAUUUGACUGCCCUGCUUGCCCCUAUGAUUCCUUUGGGUUGCUGGGCGUGUCUGUUUGACAUGACCCUCUAAACAGGGUACAGGUUUAGAUGCUUGCCCUUUCUUUUUUGAGAGGAGGAAGAUGGAUCAAGUUGAAAACAUAUGGUUCCAAUUACCCAUUGCUGAGAGCUCUCUGCCUUUUCGAGGAACUCCCCCUUUUUUUUAAUGGAUGAUGUUGAGAGCAUGUGAUAGAAUUGGAAUGGAAGUUCUUAUUUAUUUGUUUGUUUAUUUUGAGUUUUUUCAGUUAUACUGCUGCAGCAGGUUUUAUUUCAACUCCACAUAAUUGGCAAAAGAGCUCAAUGCUUAUAGAAAGACUGAAACACUUUCUCCCCACAAAACAGAAAAAAAGAGCUCAGGGAUCAGGAUUUAAAGCCCUACAGAUUAAAAGUCCACUUCCCCUAUUCUAGAUGCAGUUCCAUUUAGAAGGUCCAGGUACGUGCCCUUUUGGCCUUUUGACAUUAGGCUCCGUUAGCUGGCUGGUGGGAGCGACUGCCCUGUAAUCAGGGUGUGUGUCUCCUCCCCCUUGUCUUUUGUGGGGCAUCGAGCUCUUUGUUAGUCCGAGCAAUGUGACCGCCCUGCAAGUAGGGUCUGCGUCUCGUCCCAUUUGCUAUUCGGGCUUUACGCCUUGCUCUGCCCCACGGGUCAACCCUGGGAUUUUGGUGAGUGUGACAAGUCUCGCUAGAAAGGGACAUAUUGAGCUCCUGGGUACUCUCAGGAGCUUGACCAGCCUGUAAUUCAGGUAUUGGUCUCUGCCCUUUGGAUCUGCAGUGACCGUCCUGUAAUCAGGGUACUGGUUGCAUGCCUCUUGCUUCUCAACACCAGGCGAUUAGAUCCCUUCCAGUCUCGUGGGCAGCCUGUAAGUAGGCUUUGCGUCCCUUUUGAGGCCCUUUGGGUCUCUUGGUCUUGGGCAUUUUCACAGCCCGAUGCGAGGGACCGCCCCGUACUCGGGGAUGGGUUCCUUGCCCUCGAGUCUUUUGGCACUAGGUCAUGUGCAGCAAACUGCUUGGGAUGAGCACCCUGUAGACAGGGGAUGUGCCUCAUCGGAUAUUAGGUAUGGUACCCCCAUGACACUGUGUCCAGAGUCCUGACCCAUCCCGCAGCGCUCCCCACGUGCCGGGAAUUCAGAAGCCAAGUCUCCUGCUCUCUCGGAGACCCAGCCGGCAAUUGCUGGCAGCCUCACGCACAAGUGGAGAAGAGGGAAAAAAGGAGGCAUGUGCAAGAAAGAAGAGAAAAGACGACGAGUGAAGAUGGAGGAGACGGAAAGGGACUCUGGACACAGUUUCCUUUCUGUAAUGAGGUCUAAGGUCAUGUCCUUAUACUGCCUGUGGAUGUGGGGCCUUUUCGUACCUUGAGCAGUGUGACCGCUCUGUAAGCAGGGUCCAGGUCUGUGCCCUUCUGGCCUUUUGACAUUAGGCUCCAUUAGCUGGCUGGUGGGAGCGACUGCCCUGUAAUCAGGGUGUGUGUCUCCUCCCCCUUGUCUUUUGUGGGGCAUCGAGCUCUUUGUUAGUCCGAGCAAUGUGACCGCCCUGCAAGUAGGGUCUGCGUCUCGUCCCAUUUGCUAUUCGGGCUUUACGCCUUGCUCUGCCCCACUCGUCCACGGGUCAACCCUGGGAUUUGGGUGA
Non-coding RNA from Pelodiscus sinensis (Chinese soft-shelled turtle), 2324 nucleotides. The record is from RefSeq and is a predicted model, not a curated record. Lineage: Eukaryota; Metazoa; Chordata; Testudines; Trionychidae.